This 491-nucleotide ribosomal RNA is filed under the name uncultured bacterium. RNAcentral's name for it is "partial 16S ribosomal RNA". It matches the Rfam family "Bacterial small subunit ribosomal RNA", at positions 28 to 507 of the family's 1533-position model. The record is from RNAcentral.
GAUGAACGCUGGCUACAGGCUUAACACAUGCAAGUCGAGGGGAAACGACGGGGAAGCUUGCUUCCCCGGGCGUCGACCGGCGCACGGGUGAGUAACGCGUAUCCAACCUGCCUCUGACUGAGGGAUAACCCGUCGAAAGUCGGCCUAAUACCUCAUGGCAUCGUCUGCGGGCAUCCAACGACGAUUAAAGAUUUCAUCGGUCAGAGAUGGGGAUGCGUCUGAUUAGCUUGUUGGCGGGGUAACGGCCCACCAAGGCGACGAUCAGUAGGGGUUCUGAGAGGAAGGUACCCCACAUUGGAACUGAGACACGGUCCAAACUCCUACGGGAGGCAGCAGUGAGGAAUAUUGGUCAAGGGGCGAGAGCCUGAACCAGCCAAGUAGCGUGCAGGAUGACGGCCCUAUGGGUUGUAAACUGCUUUUAUGCGGGGAUAAAGUGAGGGACGUGUCCUUCAUUGCAGGUACCGCAUGAAUAAGGACCGGCUAAUUCCGUG